AGGUGUUAGUUUAUUAAAAUAUUAAUUUUGGAGAUUAAAGAUAAUUUUUUUAUUACACCUGA
RNAcentral lists this transfer RNA (62 nucleotides) under Galerucella sp. EMHAU-15070821. Its description in RNAcentral is "tRNA-Pro". Lineage: Eukaryota; Metazoa; Arthropoda; Insecta; Coleoptera; Chrysomelidae. The record is from RNAcentral.